RNAcentral lists this ribosomal RNA (451 nucleotides) under uncultured bacterium. Its description in RNAcentral is "bacterial SSU rRNA". It matches the Rfam family "Bacterial small subunit ribosomal RNA", at positions 328 to 793 of the family's 1533-position model. The record is from RNAcentral.
GUUCCAGACUCCUACGGGAGGCAGCAGUGGGGAAUAUUGGACAAUGGGGGGAACCCUGAUCCAGCGACGCCGCGUGAGUGAAGAAGUAUUUCGGUAUGUAAAGCUCUAUCAGCAGGGAAGAAAGAAAUGACGGUACCUGACUAAGAAGCCCCGGCUAACUACGUGCCAGCAGCCGCGGUAAUACGUAGGGGGCAAGCGUUAUCCGGAUUUACUGGGUGUAAAGGGAGCGUAGACGGCGAUGCAAGUCUGAAGUGAAAGCCCGGGGCCCAACCCCGGGACUGCUCUGGAAACUGCGUCGCUGGAGUACGGGAGGGGCAGGCGGAAUUCCUGGUGUAGCGGUGAAAUGCGUAGAUAUCAGGAGGAACACCGGUGGCGAAGGCGGCUUACUGGACAGUGACUGACGUUGAGGCUCGAAAGCGUGGGGAGCGAACAGGAUUAGAUACCCUCGUAG